AAACGCCUCCCAAAUGCCGCAAGUUGGCAUGCCGGUAGUGACAUCGCACUCCGCGACCGGAUACGGGCAACCGCGGAGCAACGAGCAAGCGAUUCCGUAUGAACCUGAAGAAAGAAAAAGAAUGCGGUGCUAAUAACAAAGCCUUUAACUGUGUCAUGCUCAAUUUUAUUGAUCGUGCGCAAUUUGAUCACAAUGAGUAAUCAUGAAAAUUUCUGAACGCUUAGGUCUUU
This is a long non-coding RNA of Ornithorhynchus anatinus (platypus), 230 nucleotides long. RefSeq lists it as uncharacterized. The record is from RefSeq and is a predicted model, not a curated record. The transcript is spliced from 2 exons. Lineage: Eukaryota; Metazoa; Chordata; Mammalia; Monotremata; Ornithorhynchidae.